UGCCGUUUUUCGGGUGAUGGGCAGCGUACACCCGCAGGGGAAGCUGCAGGCAGCCAGGGGCGACCAUGGGCGUCAUGUGUCUGUGAGAUGUUGGCGAUUCUCCUGGGUGCUGAGACGGAGCCCAGGAGGCUGGGGUGUGAUGUGGUGGUCAUCGCCGAUACUUCACAGCAGCCCAGCAGAUAGCGGGGAGGCCACAAGGCAUCGUGGAAACGACGUGGACUUCGGAGCCAGGCAUGGUUUCGAAUUCCUGAUUAGCAGUCUGUAAACGUGCAACCUCUGCAAGCCUGAGGAGGAGGCCCGAAGAACCAACGGGGAAAGCAGAUGGGAGCGAAGAGACAAGAAGAGGAAUAUAAAGACACAAAACCGAAGCAAAACAAGGAUGACUCAAGGAUUUCAUGGGCAACUUUUGUGAAGAUUCAGCUGCAACCUUACGUAUCCACGAAAGAACACGGAAGCCUCAAGGGCAGUAGUUUUAGUGUUUUGGGAUGAAUUCUGAUGAAUAAAAUCUCAAGAACAAACCGAUGGAGAUGGUUGGGACCUGGCAGCCUUAGCUGCUAGAGACCGACAAGAAGAUCAUAAAUAUGCGAAUUGGAUGGGGAACGGAGAGCGGACUGCAGGAAGUCCAGAGUAGAACCACCUGCGCUGAAAGCAAGGGACCCAGCAGCCGCCCCCAGCCCGACUCUCACAUCGAGGUGCCUGGUGGGGUGAGGGGGAGACAAGAAGGUCAUUACAGCGAAGGUUUUGCAACAGCAAAAUGGGUCAGUGCUGUCAGAAACUUACAUGGUUUCAUCACCAGGAAUGACAGUAAGGAAGAGGUAUUUGUACACCCCAACACCCCCGCCAUAGAGCUAGGACCCCAGGAAGUGCCUUGCUAGGGUGGGAGAGGGAGAUAUGGUGGAGUUGGAUGUAGAGGAAAGAGAAACGGUGUGGAGGCAGCAAAUGGGACAGGCUCUGGUCGAGCUCCAGAGCAAGGUGGUAAAUACAUAGUAGACCCUAACCAUUACAAGGCUCUCCAGGUCCAGCAAUUCCCACAGAAUUACACAGGAAGAGUAGGCAGAGGAGAACAGGCGGAGAGGGCUCUGAGGCCAGGCCGCCACCAUAUGAGUCUUACUGCAGGCCAUGGCUGCCAGGUGGCCACAGGCACAGAGCAGAGCCACAGUCUUCCAACCACCGCCCCACCCCCACACAGGGGGAGGUGCUGGAGGGCCCUCCAGCCCCUUUGCAGGAUAAGGCAGACCAGUGAGCAUAUGCAUGGCAGUUAGAGAUCACCCUGCAGCUGGGCACCUCCUCGCCAAAGACUGCCCAGAAAGGAUGACAGUGAGGAACACAAGGAAAGUCAACGAGCGAAGACCUAAGGUCAGCAGCCACCUGUGCACCGGUAUCCAGUACCCCCUCAACUUCAGUGAAGCCCAGCAAACCCUAAACCACAAGAAGGCAAGGUCACAAAAGCAACCUGUUCACCUGCUGAGGAGUGGUCCCUUCCGCCACAGAGCAGGGUGGGGCUGAGGAAAUACUGGCUUACCAUCUCUACCAUCAUCCAGUUUAGUCAUCCACCAAGAAGAAAUGAACAUGAAAUUCUAGCAAUAAGAUAAUAAACAAAAGACUGGAGCUGGAGACAUUAAGGGCUUGCUUUUUGCCCACUGACCAGAUAACUAGAACUAUCUGCAUUAUCUGUGUGGUGGUGGGGGGUGGUUCUCAUUUUUACCUUAAAGACAUCCAAUGACAAAUGCUUUUUCUUUCUCUCUCUCUCUUUUAAAGCCUGGCUUUUCUCAAUACACAUUUAAAGGUUUUUAAAAUGUUUCCUAUCUGGUCAAGUUGAGAGUUUUAAGAACCUCAUUUUUAAGUUGUAGUAAAAACGUGCAACUUGAUUUUUUCAAAAAGAUCAAACAGCAAGCACUUGUUAAUA
This is a long non-coding RNA of Mustela erminea (ermine), 1906 nucleotides long. RefSeq lists it as uncharacterized. The transcript is spliced from 4 exons. NCBI's taxonomy places the organism in Eukaryota, Metazoa, Chordata, Mammalia, Carnivora, Mustelidae. The record is from RefSeq and is a predicted model, not a curated record.